UACGUAGGCGGAUUGAUAAGUCAGUGGUGAAAUCCUACAGCUCAACUGUAGAACUGCCAUUGAAACUGUCAGUCUUGAGUUUAACCGAGGUGGUUGGAAUGCGUAGUGUAGCGGUGAAAUGCAUAGAGAUUACGCAGAACGCCGAUUGCGAAGGCAGAUCACUAGGUUUGAACUGACGCUGAUGUACGAAAGCGUGGGUAGCGAACAGGAUUAGAUACCCUGGUAGUCC
This 229-nucleotide ribosomal RNA is filed under the name uncultured bacterium. RNAcentral's name for it is "partial 16S ribosomal RNA". It matches the Rfam family "Bacterial small subunit ribosomal RNA", at positions 568 to 796 of the family's 1533-position model. The record is from RNAcentral.